UUCGGAUUAAUGGUAGACGUAGGAUUUGAAGACUUUAAAUCCUAGUCUUCCAUUUGUCUUAGAA
Molecule: microRNA precursor, 64 nt
Filed under: Nicotiana tabacum (common tobacco)
Lineage: Eukaryota; Viridiplantae; Streptophyta; Magnoliopsida; Solanales; Solanaceae
Description: miR6157 stem-loop (nta-MIR6157)
Source: miRBase by way of RNAcentral